AAGUCGUAACAAGGUAACCGUAGGUGAACCUGCGGUUGGAUCAUUACUGAAAAAAAAAAGAGCCUUGAGGGGUUUUUUCUAAAGCUCCUCAAGGUAAUUCUUUUAACCCCCUUGUGAACCUAUAAACGUAUUUUGGCAGUCCUCCUAAACGGAGACUUUUUAGUCUUCUUGCUGGGACUGUCAAUACUGUGUUAAAAUACCUAGUAACUUAUGUAUAAUCAUGUCUCCAACAGAUUUAUCUUGUAAAUCGUGUUUAAAAAAAAUCAUAAACAACUUUUGACAACGGAUCUCUUGGCUCUC
RNAcentral lists this unclassified non-coding RNA (300 nucleotides) under fungal sp. Its description in RNAcentral is "partial internal transcribed spacer region". The stretch from base 1 to 46 matches the Rfam family "Eukaryotic small subunit ribosomal RNA", at positions 1786 to 1831 of the family's 1831-position model. Lineage: Eukaryota; Fungi. The record is from RNAcentral.